GACGAACGUUGGCGGCGUGCUUAAUACAUGCAAGUCAACUGAAGCAGUGGUAGCAAUAUCGCUGUGGAGGUGGCGCACGGGUGAGUAACACGUAGGUAAUCUGCCUUCAGGUCUGACAUAACUCCGGGAAACCGGGGCUAAUAGCAGAUGAUGCAGCGGCUCGACAUCGAGACAGUUGUUAAAGCUAUGGCGCCUGAAGAUGAGCCUGCGUCUGAUUAGCUAGUUGGCGGGGUAACGGCCCACCAAGGCAACGAUCAGUAGCUGGUCUGAGAGGAUGAUCAGCCACACUGGAACUGAGACACGGUCCAGACUCCUACGGGAGGCAGCAGUAAGGAAUAUUGCUCAAUGGGAGAAAUCCUGAAGCAGCAACGCCGCGUGAGGGACGAAGGGCUUUUGCUUGUAAACCUCUGUAGUGAGAGAAAAAAAUCCCAAUCUUUGGGACAUGAUGGUAUCUCAAAAGUAAGCCCCGGCUAACUACGUG
This 481-nucleotide ribosomal RNA is filed under the name uncultured bacterium. RNAcentral describes it as "partial 16S ribosomal RNA". It matches the Rfam family "Bacterial small subunit ribosomal RNA", at positions 28 to 507 of the family's 1533-position model. The record is from RNAcentral.